RNAcentral lists this ribosomal RNA (468 nucleotides) under uncultured bacterium. Its description in RNAcentral is "partial 16S ribosomal RNA". It matches the Rfam family "Bacterial small subunit ribosomal RNA", at positions 28 to 507 of the family's 1533-position model. The record is from RNAcentral.
GACGAACGCUGGCGGCGUGCUUAACACAUGCAAGUCGAACGGAAAGGCCCUGCUUUUGUGGGGUGCUCGAGUGGCGAACGGGUGAGUAACACGUGAGUAACCUGCCCUUGACUUUGGGAUAACUUCAGGAAACUGGGGCUAAUACCGGAUAGGAGCUCCUGCUGCAUGGUGGGGGUUGGAAAGUUUCGGCGGUUGGGGAUGGACUCGCGGCUUAUCAGCUUGUUGGUGGGGUAGUGGAUUACCAAGUCUUUGACGGGUAGCGGGCCUGGGAGGGGGACCGGCCACAUUGGGACUGAGAUACGGCCCAGACUCCUACGGGAGGCAGCAGUGGGGAAUAUUGCACAAUGGGCGGAAGCCUGAGACAGCAACCCCGCGUGCGGGAUGACGGCCUUCGGGUUGUAAACCGCUUUCGCCGGUGACGAAGCGUGCGUGACGGUAAUGGGUAAAGAAGCACCGGCUAACUACGUG